RNAcentral lists this ribosomal RNA (334 nucleotides) under Sitobion avenae (English grain aphid). RNAcentral describes it as "partial 12S ribosomal RNA". Lineage: Eukaryota; Metazoa; Arthropoda; Insecta; Hemiptera; Aphididae. The record is from RNAcentral.
UAGAUACCCUAUUAUAAAAAUUUAAAUUAAUUUACUAAAAAAUUAAUAGUUAUGUUCUUUAAAUUUAAAAAAUUUGGCGGUAUUUUAGUCUUAUUAGAGGAACCUGUUUUUUAAUUGAUAAUCCACGAUUAAUUUUACUUAUUUUUAAUAGUUCAUAUAUCGCUGUCAUGAAUAUAUUUAAAAAUUUAUUUUCUUUGUUUAUUUUUAUAAUUUAUGUUAAGUCAAGAUGUGGUUAAUAAAUAAGUAUAUAAUGGGUUACAUUAAAUUUUAUUUUUGGAUUUUAAAUGAAAAUUAAAAUGAAAUUGGAUUUAAUAGUAAAUUUAUUUAUUUAAUU